This 253-nucleotide ribosomal RNA is filed under the name uncultured bacterium. RNAcentral describes it as "partial 16S ribosomal RNA". It matches the Rfam family "Bacterial small subunit ribosomal RNA", at positions 524 to 776 of the family's 1533-position model. The record is from RNAcentral.
UACGUAGGUGGCAAGCGUUGUUCGGAAUUAUUGGGCGUAAAGAGCUCGUAGGCGGUUCGUCGCGUCGGCUGUGAAAACCCGGAGCUCAACUCCGGGCCUGCAGUCGAUACGGGCGGACUUGAGUGUUGCAGGGGAGACUGGAAUUCCUGGUGUAGCGGUGAAAUGCGCAGAUAUCAGGAGGAACACCGGUGGCGAAGGCGGGUCUCUGGGCAACUACUGACGCUGAGGAGCGAAAGCGUGGGGAGCGAACAGG